GCGCGUGGAGCACCUGGCAUUCGCUCCGGUGCCCGGGACAGAACCGACAGCCCCUCGUGUCCGCGCGCCGUGGCCCCUGGACUCCCUCUAUGGCACCGUGAGACGAUUCCUCUCCGUGGUUCAGCUUAACCCCUUCCCGGCAGAGUUGAUAAAGACCCUCCUAAAUGAUCCAUCUUCUGUGAAGACAGAUGAGGGUGAAGACGGAGCACAAGGCCAUGGCCUGUGAACGUGGCACCCUCAUGACCUUCCUGCUGCUGACCACCCUCAUGCUUCUGAUCGGUAUGGUCUGUGCUUUUGCUACUAACCAGUUCACACACAGUCAGACGGGCCCCAGUGUGGAAGCGGUCCCCGAGACCCUGCUCAGCCUAAGAGGCUUGGUCUCUGACGUUCCUAAAAAGCUGCAGGCCGUGGCUGAUCAGUUCUCCUUGCCUCAGAAGCAAGUCUCAAAGGAUCUGGAUG
Molecule: long non-coding RNA, 459 nt
Filed under: Rattus norvegicus (Norway rat)
Lineage: Eukaryota; Metazoa; Chordata; Mammalia; Rodentia; Muridae
Description: long non-coding RNA NONRATT018579
Source: RNAcentral